This 490-nucleotide ribosomal RNA is filed under the name uncultured bacterium. RNAcentral describes it as "partial 16S ribosomal RNA". It matches the Rfam family "Bacterial small subunit ribosomal RNA", at positions 30 to 507 of the family's 1533-position model. The record is from RNAcentral.
AUUGAACGCUGGCGGCAGGCCUAACACAUGCAAGUCGAACGGUAACAGGAAGAAGCUUGCUUCUUUGCUUACGAGUGGCGGACGGGUGAGUAAUGUCUGGGAAACUGCCUGAUGGCGGGGGAUAACUACUGGAAACGGUAGCUAAUACCGCAUAACGUCGCAAGACUAAAGAUGGGGACCUUCGGGCCUCUUGCCAUCGGAUGUGCCCAGAUGGGAUUAGCUAGUAGGUGGGUUAACGGCUUACCUAGGCAACGAUCCCUAGCUGAUCUGAGAGGAUGACCGGCCACACUGGAACUGAGACACGGUCCAGACUCCUACGGGAGGCAGCAGUGGGGAAUAUUGCACAAUGGGCGAAAGCCUGAUGGAGCAAUGCCGCGUGUGUGAAGAAGGUCUUCGGAUCGUAAAGCACUGUUAUCGGGGAGGAACAGAUGUGUGAGUAAAUGUGCACUUAUUGACGGUACCUGCAGAAAAAGCAACGGCUAACUACGUG